Molecule: long non-coding RNA, 217 nt
Filed under: Vigna radiata
Lineage: Eukaryota; Viridiplantae; Streptophyta; Magnoliopsida; Fabales; Fabaceae
Description: long non-coding RNA (VRAD_LNC005775)
Source: RNAcentral
CAACUUUCGGUACAAAAUCCAUUUUCUCACCUGGUAAUCGCUUACAGCCUGUUUGUAAGCGAUUACACAGGUUAAUUGGUCAUGAAAAUCACACACCACUUGAAAUCACACAGCAUUUGUACCCUCCCCACCUAAUUCUAACCAUGUUAGCCCCCAACACCCAAUUGGGAGCAGCGUUCAAAAAACCAGGGAGCAGCCAUCAACUUUAGGUACAAAA